GACCCAGUGUUUCUAGAAGAUCAGGAUCAGUAGAUAAAUGAUGCACCAUGAGUACACGAUCUUGAUCCUGAAAAACUAACAUAUUUAACUUACGAUGGGUACGAGACUGUUUCUCACCCAUACCAAGGGGCGGAACACACUCGUGGAUCGUACUGUUGGAUGGCAGGGGUGAGAAGAUCGCUGAGCUGGAAGGUCCAGCCACCAACCGCUGGCUGAUGGGACAGGAGGAGUGCCUGGAUAGGAUCAACAAGCUGGUGCAGGACGCCAAAGAGAUGUGUGGAGUCUCCCAAGAUACCGUGCUUGAGGGUCUGGUGAGUACACUUGGUGUUAAUUAUAACAAAAUUA
Non-coding RNA from Cherax quadricarinatus, 345 nucleotides. Lineage: Eukaryota; Metazoa; Arthropoda; Malacostraca; Decapoda; Parastacidae. The record is from RefSeq and is a predicted model, not a curated record.